RNAcentral lists this ribosomal RNA (404 nucleotides) under Lactococcus lactis. RNAcentral describes it as "bacterial SSU rRNA". It matches the Rfam family "Bacterial small subunit ribosomal RNA", at positions 28 to 421 of the family's 1533-position model. The record is from RNAcentral. Lineage: Bacteria; Bacillati; Bacillota; Bacilli; Lactobacillales; Streptococcaceae.
GACGAACGCUGGCGGCGUGCCUAAUACAUGCAAGUUGAGCGCUGAAGGUUGGUACUUGUACCAACUGGAUGAGCAGCGAACGGGUGAGUAACGCGUGGGGAAUCUGCCUUUGAGCGGGGGACGACAUUUGGAAACGAAUGCUAAUACCGCAUAAAAACUUUAAACACAAGUUUUAAGUUUGAAAGAUGCAAUUGCAUCACUCAAAGAUGAUCCCGCGUUGUAUUAGCUAGUUGGUGAGGUAAAGGCUCACCAAGGCGAUGAUACAUAGCCGACCUGAGAGGGUGAUCGGCCACAUUGGGACUGAGACACGGCCCAAACUCCUACGGGAGGCAGCAGUAGGGAAUCUUCGGCAAUGGACGAAAGUCUGACCGAGCAACGCCGCGUGAGUGAAGAAAGGUUUUCGG